UACGUAGGUGGCAAGCGUUAUCCGGAAUUAUUGGGCGUAAAGCGCGCGCAGGCGGUCCUUUAAGUCUGAUGUGAAAGCCCACGGCUCAACCGUGGAGGGUCAUUGGAAACUGGGGGACUUGAGUGCAGAAGAGGAGAGCGGAAUUCCACGUGUAGCGGUGAAAUGCGUAGAGAUGUGGAGGAACACCGGUGGCGAAGGCGGCCCUCUGGACGGAUACUGACGCUGAGACGCGACAGCGUGGGGAGCAAACAGG
RNAcentral lists this ribosomal RNA (253 nucleotides) under uncultured bacterium. RNAcentral describes it as "partial 16S ribosomal RNA". It matches the Rfam family "Bacterial small subunit ribosomal RNA", at positions 524 to 776 of the family's 1533-position model. The record is from RNAcentral.